GAUGAACGCUGGCGGCGUGCCUAAUACAUGCAAGUCGAGCGAACAGACGAGGAGCUUGCUCCUCUGACGUUAGCGGCGGACGGGUGAGUAACACGUGGAUAACCUACCUAUAAGACUGGGAUAACUUCGGGAAACCGGAGCUAAUACCGGAUAAUAUAUUGAACCGCAUGGUUCAAUAGUGAAAGACGGUUUUGCUGUCACUUAUAGAUGGAUCCGCGCCGCAUUAGCUAGCUGGUAAGGUAACGGCUUACCAAGGCAACGAUGCGUAGCCGACCUGAGAGGGUGAUCGGCCACACUGGAACUGAGACGCGGUCCAGACUCCUACGGGAGGCAGCAGUAGGGAAUCUUCCGCAAUGGGCGAAAGCCUGACGGAGCAACGCCGCGUGAGUGAUGAAGGUCUUCGGAUCGUAAAACUCUGUUAUUAGGGAAGAACAAAUGUGUAAGUAACUAUGCACGUCUUGACGGUACCUAAUCAGAAAGCCACGGCUAACUACGUG
This 497-nucleotide ribosomal RNA is filed under the name uncultured bacterium. Its description in RNAcentral is "partial 16S ribosomal RNA". It matches the Rfam family "Bacterial small subunit ribosomal RNA", at positions 28 to 507 of the family's 1533-position model. The record is from RNAcentral.